GACGAACGCUGGCGGCGUGCUUAACACAUGCAAGUCGAACGGAAAGGCCUUGUUCUUGUGGCGUGCUCGAGUGGCGAACGGGAGAGUAACCCGUGAGUAACCUGACCAUGACUUUGGGAUAACUCUAAGAAACCGGGGCCUAUACCGGAAAGGAGCGCCUGCUCCCUGGUGGGGGCUGGAAAGUUACGGCGGUUGGGGAUGGACAAGCGGCUUAUAAGCCGGUGGGUGGGGGCGUGGCCUAGCAAGGCGUUGACGGGUAGCCGGCCGGAGCGGGUGACGGGCAGCAUUGGGACGGAGGUGCGGCCCAGACUCCUACGGGGGGCAGCAGUAGGGGAUAUUGCACAAUGGGCGGAGGCCGGAUGCAGCAGCACCGCGUGCGGGAGGACGGCCUUCGGGGUGUAGACCGCUUUCGCCUGUGACGAAGCGUGAGUGACGGUAACUGGUAAAGAAGCACCGGCUAACUACGUG
This 468-nucleotide ribosomal RNA is filed under the name uncultured bacterium. Its description in RNAcentral is "partial 16S ribosomal RNA". It matches the Rfam family "Bacterial small subunit ribosomal RNA", at positions 28 to 507 of the family's 1533-position model. The record is from RNAcentral.